Molecule: long non-coding RNA, 325 nt
Organism: Leptopilina boulardi
Lineage: Eukaryota; Metazoa; Arthropoda; Insecta; Hymenoptera; Figitidae
Exons: 2
Source: RefSeq, a predicted model, not a curated record
UAACAGAAAAUAAACUUUUUUUUCCUCAUUUUUUGGACUAUAUUUACAAGAAAAAAAAACGUACAGGGUCAAAGUAACAAAAGAAUUUUAAGACAGUUACAAAUCUAAAAUCUAAAUACAGUUCAAAAUGAAAGUACUCAUUGUUGCCUGUGUGACAGUUUUAACUAUUAUUUCCAUGGCUCAAGAAGCACUUGCCAACAAUCAAAAUCAAAAUCAACAAGACCAACAAAACUAAAAAAAAAUCAACUUUCAAACACCAUCUAUUGGUUUGUUAUUUUCAAUGACUUGAAAUGUAUUAAUAAAAGUUGCAACAAAUUAUAUAAAA